UACUCGCGGUCCAAGUCGCAGCCAUCAUUAUUAGGUCUAAAACAUCCGUAGCUUGUUGCAUAAGUUUCUUGUGAAAUCCUACAUCUUAAGUGUAGGGCGUGCAAGAAAUACUGCGCAGCUAGAGACCGGAAGACGUGAAGAGUACGGCAGAAGUAGUAGUAAAAUACGUUAAUCUUUGUCGGACUCACAAUAGCGAAGGCACUUCACGAGUACGGUUCUGACAGUGAGGGAUGAAGGCUCGGGGCGCAAAAGGGAUUAGAAACCCUGGUAGU
Molecule: ribosomal RNA, 272 nt
Filed under: uncultured bacterium
Lineage: Bacteria
Description: partial 16S ribosomal RNA
Rfam family: Archaeal small subunit ribosomal RNA
Source: RNAcentral